ACAGGUGAUGUUGCCUAGCAACUAACGACUGUAACUGUCCAGGUGGGAUGCUUUUUUCAAUACUGAAGUAGCUGGACUGCCUGAGGCCCUCUGGCUCUGUCCCACCCUCACACAUAUGACCAGUAUCCAGCUCCAGCUCCCCACAUUUUAUUGCCCAGGCAGGAGGUGGGGCUAGCCCUCCAACUUGAAAGAUUUAAAUUUGCCUCCCAGGCUCAGAGAGUGUGCGUGGUUACAGGAAAUGUCCGACAGUGGCUAAGAUAGCCAUUUUUCUUUCUCGAUAAUGAGAUAAAAUUACAUCGUUCACAAGACUGUCAUACUGCAUUUCAUUUGCCACCGUGUCUGUUACAAAACUGUGGGCUUCUCAUAACCAAAGCCAGCUGAGCUUCAGUGAUACCAGAAUGAAGAAUGGGAAAAGCUCCCGAACGUUCCUUCAGCAGCAUGUGGGUUUGACUCCAUCAAUUAAAAAACAAAACAAUUUGCACGUAGCCAAAAGAGCGUGGUAGUGGCUUUAGUCUUUCACAACUCAAAAAGAAGAAAAAAGAGGAGGGGAGGAAGAAGAAGACUUGCAAGCAAAAGCCCAUCAGUGUGUCUUCGGCAGUCCAGCAGCCGCCACAGAGAACCGACCGAGCCACGCCACGCCACGGAGGACCUGCAGGUGCGAAAGCCCUACGUUUAGAUUGCAGCUCUAACCCGCCGUGUGGUGCUCAGAGCGAGUCACUGACCCUGCCAAGCCUGGGUCUCCCGUCCUCGACAGCAGCAAUGAUGACCCCUAACUCCGGAGCUGGGAAUGGCUCAGGUCCGGUCUCCAGCAGCACACCUGACAUUCCAAAGAGUUUAAUGCGAGUCCACGGCUAAAGAGCCCACACCAUGCACAGAAAUAAAACCAGAUGCUGGAAAGGAGCUCACAGAAACCCCGCCUGCUAUCAACAGCGGAACUGCAACAAAUCUCACCUAGAAAGAAGACAUAAACCAAACUUCCUGGCUCUGCAUCCUCUUCUGGGCUUCCCACGCGUCGCUGGAAACGGAGCUUUCUCUGGUGAAGCAUGC
This is a long non-coding RNA of Chinchilla lanigera (long-tailed chinchilla), 1047 nucleotides long. RefSeq lists it as uncharacterized. The record is from RefSeq and is a predicted model, not a curated record. The transcript has 3 exons. NCBI's taxonomy places the organism in Eukaryota, Metazoa, Chordata, Mammalia, Rodentia, Chinchillidae.